AGUUAUAGGGCUAAACAAGAUAAGCAUGUGUUUUGAAAACACAAAUAAAGGAGUUUAAAUCUCCUAAUAACUU
RNAcentral lists this transfer RNA (73 nucleotides) under Cryptotermes domesticus. Its description in RNAcentral is "tRNA-Ser". It matches the Rfam family "tRNA". From Rfam's summary of the family: Transfer RNA (tRNA) molecules are approximately 80 nucleotides in length. Their secondary structure includes four short double-helical elements and three loops (D, anti-codon, and T loops). The record is from RNAcentral. Lineage: Eukaryota; Metazoa; Arthropoda; Insecta; Blattodea; Kalotermitidae.